UACGUAGGUGGCGAGCGUUGUCCGGAUUUACUGGGCGUAAAGAGCGCGCAGGCGGUCGUUCAAGUCGGAUGUGAAAGCCCCCGGCUCAACUGGGGAGGGUCAUUCGAUACUGAUCGACUCGAAGGCAGGAGAGGGAAGCGGAAUUCCCGGUGUAGUGGUGAAAUGCGUAGAUAUCGGGAGGAACACCAGUGGCGAAGGCGGCUUCCUGGCCUGUUCUUGACGCUGAGGCGCGAUAGCUAGGGGAGCAAACGGG
This 253-nucleotide ribosomal RNA is filed under the name uncultured bacterium. RNAcentral's name for it is "partial 16S ribosomal RNA". It matches the Rfam family "Bacterial small subunit ribosomal RNA", at positions 524 to 776 of the family's 1533-position model. The record is from RNAcentral.